AUUGAACGCUGGCGGCAGGCCUAACACAUGCAAGUCGAGCGGAUGAGUGGAGCUUGCUCCAUGAUUCAGCGGCGGACGGGUGAGUAAUGCCUAGGAAUCUGCCUGGUAGUGGGGGACAACGUUUCGAAAGGAACGCUAAUACCGCAUACGUCCUACGGGAGAAAGUGGGGGAUCUUCGGACCUCACGCUAUCAGAUGAGCCUAGGUCGGAUUAGCUAGUUGGUGAGGUAAAGGCUCACCAAGGCGACGAUCCGUAACUGGUCUGAGAGGAUGAUCAGUCACACUGGAACUGAGACACGGUCCAGACUCCUACGGGAGGCAGCAGAGGGGAAUAUUGGACAAUGGGCGAAAGCCUGAUCCAGCCAUGCCGCGUGUGUGAAGAAGGUCUUCGGAUUGUAAAGCACUUUAAGUUGGGAGGAAGGGCAGUAAGUUAAUACCUUGCUGUUUUGACGUUACCAACAGAAUAAGCACCGGCUAACUUCGUG
RNAcentral lists this ribosomal RNA (484 nucleotides) under uncultured bacterium. RNAcentral's name for it is "partial 16S ribosomal RNA". It matches the Rfam family "Bacterial small subunit ribosomal RNA", at positions 30 to 507 of the family's 1533-position model. The record is from RNAcentral.